GACGUGCUAAUCUGCGAUAAGCGUCGGUAAGGUGAUAUGAACCGUUAUAACCGGCGAUUUCCGAAUGGGGAAACCCAGUGUGAUUCGUCACACUAUCAUUAACUGAAUCCAUAGGUUAAUGAGGCGAACCGGGGGAACUGAAACAUCUAAGUACCCCGAGGAAAAGAAAUCAACCGAGAUUCCCCCAGUAGCGGCGAGCGAACGGGGAGCAGCCCAGAGCCUGAAUCAGUGUGUGUGUUAGUGGAAGCGUCUGGAAAGGCGUGCGAUACAGGGUGACAGCCCCGUACACAAAAAUGCACAUACUGUGAGCUCGAUGAGUAGGGCGGGACACGUGGUAUCCUGUCUGAAUAUGGGGGGACCAUCCUCCAAGGCUAAAUACUCCUGACUGACCGAUAGUGAACCAGUACCGUGAGGGAAAGGCGAAAAGAACCCCGGCGAGGGGAGUGAAAAAGAACCUGAAACCGUGUACGUACAAGCAGUGGGAGCACGCUUAGGCGUGUGACUGCGUACCUUUUGUAUAAUGGGUCAGCGACUUAUAUUCUGUAGCAAGGUUAACCGAAUAGGGGAGCCGAAGGGAAACCGAGUCUUAACUGGGCGUUAAGUUGCAGGGUAUAGACCCGAAACCCGGUGAUCUAGCCAUGGGCAGGUUGAAGGUUGGGUAACACUAACUGGAGGACCGAACCGACUAAUGUUGAAAAAUUAGCGGAUGACUUGUGGCUGGGGGUGAAAGGCCAAUCAAACCGGGAGAUAGCUGGUUCUCCCCGAAAGCUAUUUAGGUAGCGCCUCGUGAAUUCAUCUCCGGGGGUAGAGCACUGUUUCGGCAAGGGGGUCAUCCCGACUUACCAACCCGAUGCAAACUGCGAAUACCGGAGAAUGUUAUUACGGGAGACACACGGCGGGUGCUAACGUCCGUCGUGAAGAGGGAAACAACCCAGACCGCCAGCUAAGGUCCCAAAGUCAUGGUUAAGUGGGAAACGAUGUGGGAAGGCCCAGACAGCCAGGAUGUUGGCUUAGAAGCAGCCAUCAUUUAAAGAAAGCGUAAUAGCUCACUGGUCGAGUCGGCCUGCGCGGAAGAUGUAACGGGGCUAAACCAUGCACCGAAGCUGCGGCAGCGACGCUUAUGCGUUGUUGGGUAGGGGAGCGUUCUGUAAGCCUGUGAAGGUGUGCUGUGAGGUAUGCUGGAGGUAUCAGAAGUGCGAAUGCUGACAUAAGUAACGAUAAAGCGGGUGAAAAGCCCGCUCGCCGGAAGACCAAGGGUUCCUGUCCAACGUUAAUCGGGGCAGGGUGAGUCGACCCCUAAGGCGAGGCCGAAAGGCGUAGUCGAUGGGAAACAGGUUAAUAUUCCUGUACUUGGUGUUACUGCGAAGGGGGGACGGAGAAGGCUAUGUUGGCCGGGCGACGGUUGUCCCGGUUUAAGCGUGUAGGCUGGUUUUCCAGGCAAAUCCGGAAAAUCAAGGCCGAGGCGUGAUGACGAGGCACUACGGUGCUGAAGCAACAAAUGCCCUGCUUCCAGGAAAAGCCUCUAAGCAUCAGGUAACAUCAAAUCGUACCCCAAACCGACACAGGUGGUCAGGUAGAGAAUACCAAGGCGCUUGAGAGAACUCGGGUGAAGGAACUAGGCAAAAUGGUGCCGUAACUUCGGGAGAAGGCACGCUGAUACGUAGGUGAAGCGACUUGCUCGUGGAGCUGAAAUCAGUCGAAGAUACCAGCUGGCUGCAACUGUUUAUUAAAAACACAGCACUGUGCAAACACGAAAGUGGACGUAUACGGUGUGACGCCUGCCCGGUGCCGGAAGGUUAAUUGAUGGGGUUAGCGCAAGCGAAGCUCUUGAUCGAAGCCCCGGUAAACGGCGGCCGUAACUAUAACGGUCCUAAGGUAGCGAAAUUCCUUGUCGGGUAAGUUCCGACCUGCACGAAUGGCGUAAUGAUGGCCAGGCUGUCUCCACCCGAGACUCAGUGAAAUUGAACUCGCUGUGAAGAUGCAGUGUACCCGCGGCAAGACGGAAAGACCCCGUGAACCUUUACUAUAGCUUGACACUGAACAUUGAGCCUUGAUGUGUAGGAUAGGUGGGAGGCUUUGAAGUGUGGACGCCAGUCUGCAUGGAGCCGACCUUGAAAUACCACCCUUUAAUGUUUGAUGUUCUAACGUGGACCCGUGAUCCGGGUUGCGGACAGUGUCUGGUGGGUAGUUUGACUGGGGCGGUCUCCUCCUAAAGAGUAACGGAGGAGCACGAAGGUUGGCUAAUCCUGGUCGGACAUCAGGAGGUUAGUGCAAUGGCAUAAGCCAGCUUGACUGCGAGCGUGACGGCGCGAGCAGGUGCGAAAGCAGGUCAUAGUGAUCCGGUGGUUCUGAAUGGAAGGGCCAUCGCUCAACGGAUAAAAGGUACUCCGGGGAUAACAGGCUGAUACCGCCCAAGAGUUCAUAUCGACGGCGGUGUUUGGCACCUCGAUGUCGGCUCAUCACAUCCUGGGGCUGAAGUAGGUCCCAAGGGUAUGGCUGUUCGCCAUUUAAAGUGGUACGCGAGCUGGGUUUAGAACGUCGUGAGACAGUUCGGUCCCUAUCUGCCGUGGGCGCUGGAGAACUGAGGGGGGCUGCUCCUAGUACGAGAGGACCGGAGUGGACGCAUCACUGGUGUUCGGGUUGUCAUGCC
RNAcentral lists this ribosomal RNA (2650 nucleotides) under Shigella flexneri. Its description in RNAcentral is "partial 23S ribosomal RNA". It matches the Rfam family "Bacterial large subunit ribosomal RNA". Lineage: Bacteria; Pseudomonadati; Pseudomonadota; Gammaproteobacteria; Enterobacterales; Enterobacteriaceae. The record is from RNAcentral.